RNAcentral lists this ribosomal RNA (239 nucleotides) under uncultured bacterium. RNAcentral describes it as "partial 16S ribosomal RNA". It matches the Rfam family "Bacterial small subunit ribosomal RNA", at positions 95 to 334 of the family's 1533-position model. The record is from RNAcentral.
UAGGCGAACGGCUGAGUAACACGCGGGCAACCUGCCCCUCUCAUUGGGAUAGCCACGGGAAACCGUGGAUAAUACCGAAUACUUCGAGACUUCCGCAUGGAAGACUCGAGAAAGCUCCGGCGGAGAGGGAUGGGCCCGCGGCCUGUUAGCUUGUUGGUGGGGUAACGGCCUACCAAGGCAAUGAUGGGUAGCUGGGUUGAGAGACCGACCAGCCAGAUUGGGACUGAGACACGGCCCAG